UACGAAGGGGGCGAGCGUUGUUCGGAAUUACUGGGCGUAAAGGGCGCGUAGGCGGCUUUUCAAGUGACGGGUGAAAUCCCUCGGCUUAACCGAGGAACUGCCUGUCAGACUGGAAGGCUUGAGACCGGGAGAGGUGAGUGGAAUUCCCAGUGUAGCGGUGAAAUGCGUAGAUAUUGGGAGGAACACCAGUGGCGAAGGCGGCUCACUGGACCGGAACUGACGCUGAGGCGCGAAAGCGUGGGGAGCAAACAGG
RNAcentral lists this ribosomal RNA (253 nucleotides) under uncultured bacterium. Its description in RNAcentral is "partial 16S ribosomal RNA". It matches the Rfam family "Bacterial small subunit ribosomal RNA", at positions 524 to 776 of the family's 1533-position model. The record is from RNAcentral.